This is a non-coding RNA of Salmo salar (Atlantic salmon), 3797 nucleotides long. The record is from RefSeq and is a predicted model, not a curated record. Lineage: Eukaryota; Metazoa; Chordata; Actinopteri; Salmoniformes; Salmonidae.
AUUGAGAGCAUCUUGACUGGCUGCCUACUGCUUAGCACAACAAUUGUAAGGCACCAGACCGCAAAGCGCUACAGAGGGUGGGGAGUACAGCCCAGUACAUCACUGGGGCUGAGUUCUCUUCCAUCCAGGACCUCCAACCAGCUGGUGUCAGAGGAAGGCCCCAAAAAUGAUCAAAGACUCCACUCACCCAAGCUGUAGACUGUUCUUUCUGCUACUGCAUGGCACACGGUACCAGUGCACCAAGUCUGGAAACAACAGGACCUUGAACAGCUUCUACCCCCAAGGCAUAAGACUGUUAAACAAGACUGCUAAAUAGCUAAUCAAAUGACUACCUGGACUACCUACAUCGACCCUUCUUUGCACUAACUUUCUUGCACUGACUAUAUGCCAACAAGCUCCCACAGUCUCAAGUCAGAAUUAGACAUUCAUUCAUGUUUCUCAAACGUUAUAUUUUUAAGUUGUUCCAAACAUCACAUUUCAAAGUAUUUAAGAUUAAGUUUAGGAAUUAACUCAGAGUAGUUAAAACAAAAAUUUCAAAACAACUUUCUAUAACUGGAAUCAAACAUGCUGUUCUUGGAACUAGAUGGAGGCAUCCACAUAGGAGAUUAGCUAGCUAGUGCUGUUAGUGUUAGCUAACUUGCAGCAUUAAUGUUAGCACGUUAGCUAUCAACCUAUCCAGCAAGAAUGUCGAGGUCAAAAACAAAAUAAACUAUGUUAAGCCAUGCUGAUAUAGUAAGAUAAGUUCGGACUGAAAUAUUUCUGCGACUCACUUGCUAACUUUAGCUUGCUAGCUCAGUGACUGCUGCUGGGCGAAGUAAUAUGCACCUCUUCUUGUUUAAUAUGGGAAAUCAGACUAGCACCACAAUACCAACCAGUGGCCAUAAUUAUAUUGCACCUGGGUUUGUUUAGAAACCUCAUUGACAAUGCAAGGGAAAUGGUUUAGGGCUGUUAAACCAAAGAAUCCAUGGCUUAUCUUCAGUAAUUCUCAAUCUGAUGAGAUAUGCAGCUGACCCAAAUUGAAUUUCAUUUAUAAAUGUUGGCUCUAAUUAUUGUUAAUAUCCCAAUUCUCUUGGUCCUCCAUUCCCACACCUGAAGCCUCCAAUCCCCAGCAGGAAAGACCAGGAAAAAGUGUUGGCUUAAGGUACAACUUCCUAUUGAGAAAUGUAAGAUAACUCAAGGUCAUAUUUAGAUUUAGAGUUACUGACAUGAAUAGAAGCAUAUGCAGGCAAUCAAUCAAUCAAUCAAAUGUAUUUUAUAAAGCCCCUUUUACAUCAACUGUUGUCACAAAGUACUUAUACAGAUAACCAGCCUAAAACCCCAAAGAGCAAGCAAUGCAGAUGUAGAAGCACAGAGGCUAGGGAAAACUCGCUAGAAAGGUAGGAACCCAGGAAGAAACCUAGAGAGGAGCCAGGCUCCGAGGGUUAGCCAGUCCUCUUAUGGCUGUACUGGGUAGAGAGGAUCCAGGCUCCAACGGUUGGCCAGUCCUCUUGUGGCUGUGCUGGAUAGAGGAGCCAGGCUCCAACGGUUGGCCAGUCCUCUUGUGGCUGUGCUGGUGGAGAUUAUAAAGAGUACAGCCAUUUGGGCCAGAUCGUUCUUCAAUACAUUUAAACGUUCAUAGAUGACCAGCAGGGUCAAAUAAUAAUCACAGUGGUUAUAGACGGUGCAAUUGUUCAGCACCUCAGGAUUAAAUGCUAGUUGGCUUUUCAUAGCUGAGCCUUUAGAAGUUGAGACUGCAGAUCCGGUAGAGAGAGAGGGUCAAACAGCAGGUAUGGGAGAAGGUAGCAAGUCCAGUGAGCACUGAGCAGGUCAGGGUUCCAUAGCUGCAGGCAGAAACUGCAGAGACUGGAUCAGCAGCACAACCACGUGGACUGGGGACAGGGAUAGCCAGGAGUCAUCAGGCCAGGUAAUCCUGAGGCAUGGUCCUAGGACUAGGCUAAUCCCUAGAGGUUUUGUAAUUUCACAUGAUUUAGCCUACUUGUCAGUCCAGAUCUGAAUGUUUGAUAUCCUUUUUACAGUACACUGUUGAUAGUAAUUGUUUCCAAAGGUAAUCAUUGAAUGUCCUGCUACAAGGAUGUGGUCAGGUUGACACAAUUCUGAGUCCCAAUAACACACACACACACCACAGAUUGCAAGGGCAAGUACAAUGAGCAAUUGGGAAAAUGAAGACCGCUGCCCGACACACACACUUAAUUUCGGUUAGUGUUUAGUCAAGGCUUUGUGAUUAAAAUUAUAUUGUGCCUAUCUUUCAGAUCUGCCAACCAGGCUCGGUGGGUGACAGGUAACCGAGUUUUCACCAAGCUCUUCCAUGCCUGGAGAGGCACGCCGGAACUUCUAGAGGCUUGCAGACCUGAAGCAGUUGUCACGCCCUGAUCUGUUUCACCUGUCUUUGUGAUUGUCUCCACCCCCCUCCAGGUGUCUCCUGUUUUCUCCAUUAGUCCCCGGUGUAUUUAUCCCUGUGUUUCCUGUCUCUCUGUGCCAGUUCUUCUUGUUUUGCCAAGUUAACCAGCGUUUCGCCUAGCUCCUAUUUUUCCCAGUCUCUGUUUUUUAUUUUUAUUAGCCCUCCUGGUUUUGACCCUUGCCUGUCCUGAUGCCGACUCCGCCUGCCUGACCACUCUGCCGGUUCUGAUCUCGAGCCUGCCUAUCCCCUUGAAUUUGAACCUGUUCACGGAACUCCUGACCUCGAGCCUGCCUAUCCCCUGGUACUGUUUGGCCUCUGACCUGGUUUAUGAACUCUCGCCUGUCCCCGACCUGCCUUUUGCCUACCCCUUUUGGUAUAAUAAAUAUCGGAGCUCAACCAUCUGCCUCCCGUAUCUGCAUUUGGGUCUCACCUUGUGCCCUUUAUAGCAGUGUGAUGUGGUCCAGGUAAUUAUCACACGUAUACACACUCACUCAAUCACUCUUUGUUGUAUAAUUAUUUUCACUUUGUGCCUCUCUUAGAUCUUACACCCCUAUCAGCUCAACCACAGCCCUCGCAGCUGCAGUCGUCUGCCCCUGUACCUGCUGCACUGGCCGCGACAGGUGAUACAGAUCUGCCACCCCCAGCAGUUCAGCUGCAGUCUCAGCAGUCCUCUGCUGUGGUAUUUAAUGUACCGACUGCAUCAGUUCCUGAUACACUGGUCGAUUUCCAGAUGGAUACAGAUCUGCCGUGCAUUCCAAUGCCCCUGACAGCCUCACCCAGCAGUGCAUACACUGGGCCUGUCAAGAUUGACAAAGCAGUGAUGGGCGGCUGACAAGGAAAAAUAAAACCUUCUCUCUGCUUCUCUUUUACAUUAGUAUUGUUUUAAAAAUGAAUAUGAACAUAUUUUCUUUGAAUUAGUCAAGGUCUGACAACACUGCAUAUUUUUUUAUUUUGACCAGUUGUCAUUUUCUGCAAAUAAAUGCUCUAAAUGACAAUAUUUGGGAGAAAUGUCAGUUUAUAGAAUAAAACUAAAUGUUAAUUUUACCCAAACACAUACCUAUAAAUAGUAAAACCAGAGAAACUGAUAAUUUUGCAGUGGUCUCUUAAUUUUUUUCCAGAGCUGUAGAUAUGUGGACGAAAGAUAUGUAUUCAUUGAAAGCUAAAGCCCACGGAACCAGAUUCUCGAUAUCCUCCUAUAUAGCUGGCUAGCCAGCAGCCUGGAGAGCAGCGCUGUUAUUGAAGUUUUGGUUUUAUGUCGUGCUGUUUGUGUGUAUACUGGACCAUUACUGGAAUUGUUGUAGGAACCGUGAGUCAACAAAGUUAAAAGUGGAAUGCUCUAAUUUGGCAUUUAGUGGUUAACUGUUGGUCUAAAAUGGAACAUAAAGUUGACGUUACCAAA